RNAcentral lists this ribosomal RNA (301 nucleotides) under uncultured bacterium. RNAcentral's name for it is "bacterial SSU rRNA". It matches the Rfam family "Bacterial small subunit ribosomal RNA", at positions 28 to 334 of the family's 1533-position model. The record is from RNAcentral.
GAUUAACGCUGGCGGCAUGCCUAAUACAUGCAAAUCGAACGAAGCCUUUUGGCUUAGUGGUGAACGGGUGAGUAACACGUAUCCAAUCUACCCUUAAGUUUGGGAUAACCGGUCGAAAGAUUAGCUAAUACCGGAUAAUAACACCCACUUGCAUGAGUGAAUGUGGAAAGUUGCGUUUGCAACGCUUUUGGAUGAGGGUGCGACGUAUCAGAUAGUUGGUGGGGUAACGGCUCACCAAGUCGUUGACGCGUAGCUGUACUGAGAGGUAGAACAGCCACAAUGGGACUGAGACACGGCCCAU